This 922-nucleotide ribosomal RNA is filed under the name uncultured bacterium. RNAcentral's name for it is "bacterial SSU rRNA". It matches the Rfam family "Bacterial small subunit ribosomal RNA", at positions 8 to 926 of the family's 1533-position model. The record is from RNAcentral.
AGAGUUUGAUCAUGGCUCAGGAUGAACGCUAGCGGCAGGCUUAAUACAUGCAAGUCGAGGGGCAGCAUGAACUAGCAAUAGUUUGAUGGCGACCGGCAAACGGGUGCGGAACACGUACACAACCUUCCUUUAAGUGGGGAAUAGCCCAGAGAAAUUUGGAUUAAUACCCCGUAACACAACGAAGUGGCAUCACUUUGUUGUUAUAGUUUCGGCGCUUAAUGAUGGGUGUGCGUAUGAUUAGAUAGUUGGCGAGGUAACGGCUCACCAAGUCUACGAUCAUUAGCUGAUGUGAGAGCAUGAUCAGCCACACGGGCACUGAGACACGGGCCCGACUCCUACGGGAGGCAGCAGUAAGGAAUAUUGGUCAAUGGACGCAAGUCUGAACCAGCCAUGCCGCGUGAAGGAUUAAGGUCCUCUGGAUUGUAAACUUCUUUUAUAUGGGACGAAAAAAGGUCUUUCUAGACCCCUUGACGGUACCAUAUGAAUAAGCACCGGCUAACUCCGUGCCAGCAGCCGCGGUAAUACGGAGGGUGCAAGCGUUAUCCGGAUUCACUGGGUUUAAAGGGUGCGUAGGCGGGUAGGUAAGUCAGUGGUGAAAUCCUGGAGCUCAACUCCAGAACUGCCAUUGAUACUAUCUAUCUUGAAUAUUGUGGAGGUAAGCGGAAUAUGUCAUGUAGCGGUGAAAUGCUUAGAUAUGACAUAGAACACCCAUUGCGAAGGCAGCUUACUACGCAUAUAUUGACGCUGAGGCACGAAAGCGUGGGGAUCAAACAGGAUUAGAUACCCUGGUAGUCCACGCCCUAAACUAUGGAUACUCGACAUAUGCGAUACACUGUAUGUGUCUGAGCGAAAGCAUUAAGUAUCCCACCUGGGAAGUACGUUCGCAAGAAUGAAACUCAAAGGAAUUGGCGGGGGUCCGCAC